CUCUAUUCGAUUAUCACUUUCUUAUCAAACUGUAUAAUGUAAUUUAAAUUUAGAAAAAAACUUCAAAUACCACUGUUGUGUGUUCAUGCUUUCUCACUUUAGUAUCAUAUGAUUUAAAAUGUAUUAUUUUAGUACUUUGUGAUUUUAUUUUUUUCUUUCUAUUAUUUCAUAUAUUAAUCUUUCCGUUAAAUUAGUGACAAAGUUAAAAACACUAGUUACUAAAGUGAAAAAUUCGAUAAACCACGUAGUUAUAGAGUGAAUAUUUAAUAAACCAUAGGUGGUAUAUCUGAAGUUUUUUUUUAUAUGAUUUGACGAAGAUAUUGAUGAAAAAAAAAUACCACGGAAUACUAAAAUAAUACAGUUUAAAUCAUAAGAUACUAAAGUGAGAAAGUGUGAAAUCGCAAAAGUGAUAUUUAAAGUUUAUCCUUCAAUUUAUUUUCGUUUUUGUUUU
RNAcentral lists this long non-coding RNA (451 nucleotides) under Ananas comosus (pineapple). RNAcentral's name for it is "long non-coding RNA (ACOM_LNC026168)". The record is from RNAcentral. Lineage: Eukaryota; Viridiplantae; Streptophyta; Magnoliopsida; Poales; Bromeliaceae.